CAGCCGCCACGGUAAUACGGAGGGUGCAAGCGUUAAUCGGAAUUACUGGGCGUAAAGCGCACGCAGGCGGUUUGUUAAGUCAGAUGUGAAAUCCCCGAGCUUAACUUGGGAACUGCAUUUGAAACUGGCAAGCUAGAGUCUUGUAGAGGGGGGUAGAAUUCCAGGUGUAGCGGUGAAAUGCGUAGAGAUCUGGAGGAAUACCGGUGGCGAAGGCGGCCCCCUGGACAAAGACUGACGCUCAGGUGCGAAAGCGUGGGGAGCAAACAGGAUUAGAUACCCGGGUAGUCACUGUCUCUUAUAU
RNAcentral lists this ribosomal RNA (301 nucleotides) under uncultured bacterium. RNAcentral's name for it is "partial 16S ribosomal RNA". It matches the Rfam family "Bacterial small subunit ribosomal RNA", at positions 509 to 809 of the family's 1533-position model. The record is from RNAcentral.